UAAUACGUAGGGAGCGAGCGUUGCUCGGAAUCACUGGGCAUAAAGGGCGUGUAGGUGGGGUCGUAAGUUGAAUGUGGAAGCCCCCGGCUCAACUGGGGAGGUGCAUUCAAAACUGCGGCUCUUGAGUGUGGGAGAGGAGAGUGGAACUCCUGGUGGAGCGGUGAAAUGCGUAGAUAUCAGGAGGAACGCCGGUGGCGAAAGCGACUCUCUGGCCCAUUACUGACACUGAGGCGCGAAAGCUAGGGUAGCGAACGGGAUUAGAUACCCCGGUAGUCCUAGCCGUAAACGAUGGGCACUAGGUAGAGGGGACAUCCGAUGUUUUCUCUGCUGAAGCUAAUGUGAUAAGUGCCCCGCCUGGGGAGUACGGUCGCAAGGCUG
RNAcentral lists this ribosomal RNA (378 nucleotides) under uncultured Planctomycetota bacterium. Its description in RNAcentral is "bacterial SSU rRNA". It matches the Rfam family "Bacterial small subunit ribosomal RNA", at positions 521 to 896 of the family's 1533-position model. The record is from RNAcentral. Lineage: Bacteria; Pseudomonadati; Planctomycetota.